RNAcentral lists this ribosomal RNA (231 nucleotides) under uncultured Clostridiaceae bacterium. RNAcentral's name for it is "partial 16S ribosomal RNA". It matches the Rfam family "Bacterial small subunit ribosomal RNA", at positions 105 to 334 of the family's 1533-position model. The record is from RNAcentral. Lineage: Bacteria; Bacillati; Bacillota; Clostridia; Eubacteriales; Clostridiaceae.
GGUGAGUAACGUGUGGGUAACCUGCCUUAUACUGUGGAAUAAUCACUUGAAAAGGUGACUAAUACCGCAUGUGGUCUCUGGAGGGCAUCCUCUGGAGAAGAAAGGAUUUAUUCGGUAUAAGAUGGACCCGCAUCUGAUUAGCUAGUUGGUGAGAUAAUAGCCCACCAAGGCAACGAUCAGUAGCCGACCUGAGAGGGUGAUCGGCCACAUUGGGACUGAGACACGGCCCAA